GUCCAGACUCCUACGGGAGGCAGCAGUGGGGGAUAUUGCACAAUGGGGGAAACCCUGAUGCAGCGACGCCGCGUGAGUGAAGAAGUAAUUCGUUACGUAAGGCUCUAUCAGCAGGGAAGAAAAUGACGGUACCUGACUAAGAAGCACCGGCUAAAUACGUGCCAGCAGCCGCGGUAAUACGUAUGGUGCAAGCGUUAUCCGGAUUUACUGGGCGUAAAGGGAGCGCAGGCGGCGCGCCAAGUCUGAUGUGAAACCCCGGGGCUCAACCCCGGGCAUGCAUUGGAAACUGGCGGGCUGGAGUGCCGGAGAGGUAGGCGGAAUUCCUAGUGUAGCGGUGAAAUGCGUAGAUAUUAGGAGGAACACCAGUGGCGAAGGCGGCUUACUGGACGGCAACUGACGCUGAGGCUCGAAAGCGUGGGGAGCAAACAGGAUUAGAUACCCCUGUA
Molecule: ribosomal RNA, 446 nt
Filed under: uncultured bacterium
Lineage: Bacteria
Description: partial 16S ribosomal RNA
Rfam family: Bacterial small subunit ribosomal RNA
Source: RNAcentral